Vicia faba (fava bean) is the source of this 336-nucleotide non-coding RNA. The record is from the annotation of a GenBank genome assembly. NCBI's taxonomy places the organism in Eukaryota, Viridiplantae, Streptophyta, Magnoliopsida, Fabales, Fabaceae.
UUUAGUGCUCAUUUGAGCAAUUGUCUUUCUUACUGGGAAAGUAGUUUACAUUUAAACAUGUUGAUAACAGAGCAUAAUAAUAAAAAUGCUCAAAUAAUAAUACAUUUAUUAGUACAUGUUAAGACUAAGAAAAGUCACACAGCAGCCAAAUGUCUUGGAGAUGGGAGAGAAAAAGAUACACAUAGCUCCAUGAUCACCAAAUAUAGAACACACUAUCCAAUAAUGAAUUCUACUAUACAUGAUGCAGAAUUAAAUUAUACCAUAUCCAGUAGUUUUAGACUACCUGAACUGGACAUCCACCAACCCGUUUGCUGCAUAAAUAUCAAAUAUAGCUAA